GCGUUGUCCGGAUUUAUUGGGCGUAAGGAGCGUGUAGGCGGUUAGAUAGGUCCGUUGUGAAAACUCGAGGCUCAACCUCGAGACGUCGACGGAAACCAUCUGGCUAGAGUCCGGAAGAGGAGAGUGGAAUUCCUGGUGUAGCGGUGAAAUGCGCAGAUAUCAGGAAGAAUAUCCGUGGCGAAGGCGGCUCUCUGGGACGGUACUGGCGCUGAGACGCGAAAGCGUG
Molecule: ribosomal RNA, 226 nt
Filed under: uncultured bacterium
Lineage: Bacteria
Description: partial 16S ribosomal RNA
Rfam family: Bacterial small subunit ribosomal RNA
Source: RNAcentral